Molecule: long non-coding RNA, 300 nt
Filed under: Solanum tuberosum (potato)
Lineage: Eukaryota; Viridiplantae; Streptophyta; Magnoliopsida; Solanales; Solanaceae
Description: long non-coding RNA (STUB_LNC005226)
Source: RNAcentral
UGCUCAGCGAUAUCAUCUACUGGUGCAUGACUCACAAGUCAAGACCAAUAACACUGGAUAACAUAAAGCAACGCACCAAAAUUUAAGAACAUGUGGUUAAUAGUGUACCAGAAGAGCACCACACAACUUUAACAAUUUUCGUCGCAAACUGAGGGUACCACAACUUGUUAUCGUUUCUUUCACUCUCAGAUAAAAUGGGAGGUGAGAGUGUGCAAAGCAUCCUGAGAUAAUUUACCCCAUCAAUAUAGAAUAUUGCUAAGAGUCAAAACAUAAUUCAACAAUUCAAAUUGUGCAAUGUAC